AUGUCAGCGGCGCCGCCGCGCCGCCACGCCUCGCCGCCGGGCGAGGUCCGCCUCCGCCUCCCGCCCGAUGGUCUAGUACGCCUCCUCCGCGCCUCCAUGGCCCGCAAGACCUGGAGCCACAAGCGUCUCUCACGGGGGAUUCCGACGCCGCCUCCACGAGCUCCACCCGGGCCGGCACCCCCCGCGCUCGGGUUCCUCCACAACCGGGCCGACGAGCGCAGCCCCUGCUUCAUCCCCACCGCCCUCGUCCUUCUCCCUCGGCUGCCGCCACGGCCGCGCACCCCUUCCCCUCCAAGGACGGGUGCGACCACCUCGUCCUCGACUGCCUCGCGGGCCCUUUCCGCGUGGUCUUCCUCUUCGCCGUCGAGGAAGGCACCGACAACGACGCGUACGCUCGUCCAAUACUGGCGGCCGGAGCGAGCUGACCUCGAUGCGCUCCCAAGGCGAGUUCUCCAUGGAAUUCACACAACAUCCCAGCGUUCUCGUUGGCAGGUCUCUGCUCUUCUCCAUGUCCACGGGGACAGUGCGUCGAUCGUGGAGCAUGACCUGGCAAGCCGCGACCUGACUCUGCUCGGCCAACCAGACAAGUACUACAAGCACACAGAUGCUGUCAAGGAUGGGGAUUUUGUUAACGCCUUUGAAUGCGUCAACCACAACCUCAAGAUCAGGGCUCCUUGUUAUGGAGAAGGUGCUCUCGAGGGUGCUAGCACACUCAACAAACAUGGAUGUGCCUUGCUACCCAAAGAUUCUCCUAGUGAUGUUCCUAAGGGGCACCAAAUGAAGAAUCGGCGAAGGGUACAACCAGCAAAGAUGAUGCCGGGAACCUGA
This 828-nucleotide ribosomal RNA is filed under the name Triticum aestivum (bread wheat). Its description in RNAcentral is "partial small subunit ribosomal RNA". The record is from RNAcentral. Lineage: Eukaryota; Viridiplantae; Streptophyta; Magnoliopsida; Poales; Poaceae.